UACGUAGGUGGCAAGCGUUGUCCGGAUUUACUGGGUAUAAAGGGAGCGCAGGCGGGAUAGCAAGUCAGCGGUGAAAUGCAAAGGCUUAACCUUUGAACUGCCGUUGAAACUGUUAUUCUUGAGUGAAGUAGAGGCAAGCGGAAUUCCGAGUGUAGCGGUGAAAUGCGUAGAUAUUCGGAGGAACACCAGUGGCGAAGGCGGCUUGCUGGGCUUUUACUGACGCUGAGGCUCGAAAGUGUGGGUAGCAAAC
This 250-nucleotide ribosomal RNA is filed under the name uncultured prokaryote. Its description in RNAcentral is "partial 16S ribosomal RNA". It matches the Rfam family "Bacterial small subunit ribosomal RNA", at positions 524 to 773 of the family's 1533-position model. The record is from RNAcentral.